UUUUGUUCUAGCCAAACCCAAGCAAGCCAAGCCCAAUCUCCAUGUCUCACCAAUAGCUGAAUCUGUCCCAAAAGAGCCCUAGCCCUUAGCGUCCCCUUCGUCUCCCUUUCCCACUGAACUUCGAGCUCUCUCACCUCCCUGCUCAUCAGCUCUCGCGAUCUCAAGCUUUCUCCCUCUCUCGUCGCUGGUCUCGCACUCAAGGUUCUCGUCGCUCUCCAUGUCGCCAUUCGUCACCAUCUCGCACUCAGUCUCGCUCGCACGCCUUUCCUGAGCUCGUUGUCGCCGGCGGCAGAAGCAGCUAGUCCCGGGACUAGUCGUCGUCAUCGCUCCAUUUAUCCUCACCGUCUCGCACUUAGUCGUGCGCCUUCUCGCGCUCGUCGUUGCCAGCGGCCGAAGUAGCCGGUCCCGAGGUUGGACGUCGUUGUCGUCUUGUUACUUUGAAUCUCGCCGUCAGCUUCCUCCCUGCCCUCAGAUUCCUUCGCCCAACCAGAGGCUGGUCCUCGAUUUGAAUUCAAGGCCUGUUAUUCCUUCCGAUUGCCCACCUGCAAUGGGCGCUUUAAUCGAGCAAUGUUGGUCCGUGCAUCCAGACAAGAGGCCUGAGUUCUGGCAGGUUGUUGAGGUGUUAGAACAAUUCGAAUCAUCACUUGCAUUGGACGGAACCUUGACUCUGGUGCAAAACCCUUUGUACCAGGAUCAUAAGAAAGGGCUUCUUCAUUGGAUUCAAAAGUUUAGUCCUUCUCAUCAAAAUAGUGGUCCAGCACUUAAACCUAGAUUCUCAAUUUCUCAUGAAUCUUCUGAGUAGCCUGGCUUUUGUAGUAGUGAUAGCACCCCAGGUCCAUUGUAAUUAAAAAAUGGUAAGUUUGGAGUGUAGAAAAGGACAAGAAGAAAAAGGAGAAAAGAAAAGAAAGUUUUUUUUUAUCUUUUUUUUUUUUAAAAUGCUCUGGUUAUAGUAAUCUUUAUGAAAUUCUUAUGGAGGGUAAAUUGGUUUGUGUAUAUUGAGGCGAAAGCGUGUUUAUUUGUCCUAUUGUGCAUACACACUAAUUAUAUUGAAGCUAUGACAAUGGGUUAGGAGCAGUCUUUUUUUUACCACAGUUUUCUGUUUUUGUUUGUUGUUAAUACAGUUAUAAAGUACUCAUAUUU
Molecule: long non-coding RNA, 1140 nt
Organism: Arachis ipaensis
Lineage: Eukaryota; Viridiplantae; Streptophyta; Magnoliopsida; Fabales; Fabaceae
Source: RefSeq, a predicted model, not a curated record